This 253-nucleotide ribosomal RNA is filed under the name uncultured bacterium. RNAcentral's name for it is "partial 16S ribosomal RNA". It matches the Rfam family "Bacterial small subunit ribosomal RNA", at positions 524 to 776 of the family's 1533-position model. The record is from RNAcentral.
UACGUAGGGCGCAAGCGUUAUCCGGAAUCAUUGGGCGUAAAGAGCGUGUAGGCGGCUCGAUAAGUCUGCUGUGAAAGUCCAGGGCUCAACCCUGGAAGGCCGGUGGAAACUGUCGGGCUAGAGUCCGGAAGAGGCGAGUGGAAUUCCCGGUGUAGCGGUGAAAUGCGCAGAUAUCGGGAGGAACACCAAUGGCGAAGGCAGCUCGCUGGGACGGUACUGACGCUGAGACGCGAAAGCGUGGGGAGCAAACAGG